Aedes aegypti (yellow fever mosquito) is the source of this 73-nucleotide non-coding RNA. Lineage: Eukaryota; Metazoa; Arthropoda; Insecta; Diptera; Culicidae. The record is from Rfam.
CCUCUCGUGGUGUAGGGGUAGCGCGCCCUAUCUAUUGAGCAGGGAGUCGUGAGUUAGAUUCUCACCGAGAAGA